Molecule: ribosomal RNA, 239 nt
Filed under: uncultured bacterium
Lineage: Bacteria
Description: partial 16S ribosomal RNA
Rfam family: Bacterial small subunit ribosomal RNA
Source: RNAcentral
CGGACGGGUGAGUAACGCGUAGGUAUCUAUCCUUGGGUGGGGGGACGAAACCCGUGGGAAACUAACGGCUAAUACCGCAUGAUAACUGAGGUUCAAAGGCAUUCCGGGUGACUGGGAUGGUGCCUGGGGAGGAGCCUGCGUACGAUUAGCUAGUUGGUGGGGUAAAGGCCUACCAAGGCUACGAUCGUUAGCUGGUCUGAGAGGAUGAUCAGCCACAUUGGGACUGAGACACGGCCCAA